GGGCCUAUAGCUCAGCUGGUUAGAGCGCACGCCUGAUAAGCGUGAGGUCGAUGGUUCGAGUCCAUUUAGGCCCAUCA
RNAcentral lists this transfer RNA (77 nucleotides) under Enterococcus faecium. Its description in RNAcentral is "tRNA-Ile". It matches the Rfam family "tRNA". Rfam says of the family: Transfer RNA (tRNA) molecules are approximately 80 nucleotides in length. Lineage: Bacteria; Bacillati; Bacillota; Bacilli; Lactobacillales; Enterococcaceae. RNAcentral also lists the same sequence under 100 other names. The record is from RNAcentral.